AUGUUGGGUUAAGUCCCGCAACGAGCGCAACCCUUGUCUGCUGUUGCCAUCAGGUAAUGCUGGGCACUCUGCAGAGACUGCCGGUGAUAAACCGGAGGAAGGUGGGGAUGACGUCAAGUCAGCAUGGCCUUUAUGUCUGGGGCUACACACGUGCUACAAUGGCCGGUACAAACCGUCGCAAAACCGUAAGGUCGAGCUAAUCGGAGAAAGCCGGUCUCAGUUCGGAUAGCAGGCUGCAACUCGCCUGCUUGAAGUUGGAAUCGCUAGUAAUCGCGGAUCAGCACGCCGCGGUGAAUACGUUCCCGGGCCUUGUACACACCGCCCGUCACAUCACGAAAGCCGGUUGUACUAGAAGUCGCUACAUCAACCCGCAAGGGAGAGAGGCGCCUAAGGUAUGGUCGGUGAUUGGGGUGAAGUCGUAACAAGGUAA
This 430-nucleotide ribosomal RNA is filed under the name uncultured bacterium. RNAcentral's name for it is "bacterial SSU rRNA". It matches the Rfam family "Bacterial small subunit ribosomal RNA", at positions 1072 to 1499 of the family's 1533-position model. The record is from RNAcentral.